This 71-nucleotide transfer RNA is filed under the name Loxodonta africana (African savanna elephant). It matches the Rfam family "tRNA". From Rfam's summary of the family: Transfer RNA (tRNA) molecules are approximately 80 nucleotides in length. Lineage: Eukaryota; Metazoa; Chordata; Mammalia; Proboscidea; Elephantidae. The record is from Rfam by way of RNAcentral.
GCAGUGGUGGUUCAGUAGUAGACGUCUCGCCUCUUAUGCAAGAGACCCGGGUUCGAUUCCUAGUCAAUGCA